RNAcentral lists this ribosomal RNA (1251 nucleotides) under Triticum aestivum (bread wheat). RNAcentral describes it as "partial small subunit ribosomal RNA". Lineage: Eukaryota; Viridiplantae; Streptophyta; Magnoliopsida; Poales; Poaceae. The record is from RNAcentral.
AUGUUCCCGGUAGCAUUUGGAAUAUUUGAGAAAGAAAAUACAGAAAAUUGGGUAUGGUUCAUGGAGCAGCUGAAAUUGGCCAUUGGAGAGCCAGAAGGGCUUGCAAUCCAUACAGAUGCAUGUAAGGGGUUGGAGAACGCCAUAUCUAAGGUCUACCCAAAUUGUGAACAUAGAGAAUGCAUGAUGCAUCUGAUGCUUAACUUCAAGAAAAAUUUCAAAGGUGACAUACUUGAUAAUAUGUGGCCUGCAGCUUGGACAUAUGAGGUAGAGAAGCAUGAUUCACUAAUGGCAGAAAUACAAGCACAAAGCGCUGAAGCAAUAGCAUAUUUGAACAUGCAUCACAACCGUGUGUGGACAAGAAGCAAAUUUUCAGCAAUGACAAAAAUUGAGUAUGUUAGCAAUGAUUUGGCAGAGGUUUUCAACAAUUGGAUUAAGGAUGUGAAGCAACUUGCACUUGUUGAGCUUUUGGACAACCUUAGGGAAAUGAUAAUGAUUUUGUUUGAGAAAAGGAGAGGUGUUGCUGAAGCGUUGCUAGGUUACAUACUGCCUAGUGUGAUAAAGGAGUUGAAUUUAAAAAGUAAGGGGCUACAUUAUUUGGAAGCAAGAGCAUCGCCAAAUAUAGCUGAGAUUUCGGGAAAUGGAUGGAGGCACACCGUUAACUUGGAGAAAAAAGAGUGCUCUUGUAGGAGAUGGCAGAUUUGUGGUAAACCAUGCACACAUGCUCUCCGGUUCAUAUUUUCGAAGAAAGCCAAACUAGAGGAUUAUGUUGAUGGGUGCUUCUCAGUGGCAAGAUUCCAACCAGCAUAUGAGGGAAUUCUCAUGCCAAUUAGGGGCAGGUCCCAAUGGCCCAAGGUAAAUCCUGGUUUUGAUAUGAUCCCUCCCGAACUUACUAAGAGUGUUGGACGUCCAAGAACUAGGAGGAUAAAAAAUUACACAGUAGGUGGAACCGGCAGAAAACAUAAAUGCAAAAGGUGUGGAGCAUUAGGCCAUCUUCAAAAGACUUGCAAGGAGCCAGAGAUGGAAAGUGACGCGGACCGAGAUGCUACUCCUCCUCCACGGAAAAAAUCAAAGGCUCAAGCAAGCAUUGCAACUACUUCUCCUAAGACACCAACUAAGCAAGGUACUCAACUUGAUACUCCUACAAGUCCAAUGACCAGGCAGAGGACAGUAGCUAUUGCAAUCGCUUCUACACCUCCGUGUGCGUCUACAAGGAGCAAAACUGCUGCUCCUAGCCCUCUAUGGCGAGUUUAG